RNAcentral lists this ribosomal RNA (423 nucleotides) under uncultured bacterium. RNAcentral's name for it is "bacterial SSU rRNA". It matches the Rfam family "Bacterial small subunit ribosomal RNA", at positions 30 to 452 of the family's 1533-position model. The record is from RNAcentral.
AUUGAACGCUGGCGGCAUGCCUUACACGUGCAAGUCGAACGGCAGCACGGGAGCAAUCCUGGUGGCGAGUGGCGAACGGGUGAGUAAUAUAUCGGAACGUGCCCAGUCGUGGGGAUAACGUAGCGAAAGCUACGCUAAUACCGCAUACGAUCUAUGGAUGAAGGCGGGGGAUCGCAAGACCUCGCGCGAUUGGAGCGGCCGAUAUCAGAUUAGGUAGUUGGUGAGGUAAAGGCUCACCAAGCCGACGAUCUGUAGCUGGUCUGAGAGGACGACCAGCCACACUGGGACUGAGACACGGCCCAGACUCCUACGGGAGGCAGCAGUGGGGAAUUUUUGGACAAUGGGCGCAAGCCUGAUCCAGCCAUGCCGCGUGCAGGAAGAAGCAUCUAUGGUGUGUAAACUGCUUUGUACGGAGAAACACUC